Molecule: ribosomal RNA, 2764 nt
Filed under: Vibrio parahaemolyticus
Lineage: Bacteria; Pseudomonadati; Pseudomonadota; Gammaproteobacteria; Vibrionales; Vibrionaceae
Description: bacterial LSU rRNA
Rfam family: Bacterial large subunit ribosomal RNA
Source: RNAcentral
GUAUCCUUACCUGAAUACAUAGGGUAAGGAGGCGAACCGGGGGAACUGAAACAUCUAAGUACCCCGAGGAAAAGAAAUCAACCGAGAUUCCGAAAGUAGCGGCGAGCGAAAUUGGACUAGCCCUUAAGCUUUACACGCGUUAGACGAACGGUCUGGAAAGUCCGACGAUACAGGGUGAUAGUCCCGUAGUUGACGACGUGUGUUCAGUGAAAUCGAGUAGGGCGGGACACGUGAUAUCCUGUCUGAAUAUGGGGGGACCAUCCUCCAAGGCUAAAUACUACUGACUGACCGAUAGUGAACCAGUACCGUGAGGGAAAGGCGAAAAGAACCCCUGUGAGGGGAGUGAAAUAGAACCUGAAACCGUGUACGUACAAGCAGUAGGAGCAGGCUUUGUCCUGUGACUGCGUACCUUUUGUAUAAUGGGUCAGCGACUUAUAUUCAGUGGCAAGGUUAACCAUCUAGGGGAGCCGUAGGGAAACCGAGUCUUAACUGGGCGUUCAGUCUCUGGAUAUAGACCCGAAACCAGGUGAUCUAGCCAUGGGCAGGUUGAAGGUUGAGUAACAUCAACUGGAGGACCGAACCGACUAAUGUUGAAAAAUUAGCGGAUGACUUGUGGCUAGGGGUGAAAGGCCAAUCAAACCUGGAGAUAGCUGGUUCUCCCCGAAAGCUAUUUAGGUAGCGCCUCGGACGAAUACUACUGGGGGUAGAGCACUGUUAAGGCUAGGGGGUCAUCCCGACUUACCAACCCUUUGCAAACUCCGAAUACCAGUAAGUACUAUCCGGGAGACACACGGCGGGUGCUAACGUCCGUCGUGGAGAGGGAAACAACCCAGACCGCCAGCUAAGGUCCCAAAUUACUACUAAGUGGGAAACGAUGUGGGAAGGCUCAGACAGCCAGGAUGUUGGCUUAGAAGCAGCCAUCAUUUAAAGAAAGCGUAAUAGCUCACUGGUCGAGUCGGCCUGCGCGGAAGAUGUAACGGGGCUAAGUAGUAAACCGAAGCUGCGGCAAUGUGCUUUUGCACAUUGGGUAGGGGAGCGUUCUGUAAGCGGUUGAAGGUGUGUGGUAACGCAUGCUGGACGUAUCAGAAGUGCGAAUGCUGACAUGAGUAACGAUAAAGGGGGUGAAAAACCUCCUCGCCGGAAGACCAAGGGUUCCUGUCCAACGUUAAUCGGGGCAGGGUAAGUCGACCCCUAAGGCGAGGCCGAAAGGCGUAGUCGAUGGGAAACGGGUUAAUAUUCCCGUACUUCUUACAAUUGCGAUGGGGGGACGGAGAAGGCUAGGUGGGCCUGGCGACGGUUGUCCAGGUUCAAGUGCGUAGGCUUGAGAGUUAGGUAAAUCCGGCUCUUUUUAAGGCUGAGACACGACGUCGAGCACUACGGAGGUGAAGUCAUUGAUGCCAUGCUUCCAGGAAAAGCCUCUAAGCUUCAGAUUGUAAGGAAUCGUACCCCAAACCGACACAGGUGGUCGGGUAGAGAAUACCAAGGCGCUUGAGAGAACUCGGGUGAAGGAACUAGGCAAAAUGGUACCGUAACUUCGGGAGAAGGUACGCUCUCGACGGUGAAGUCCCUCGCGGAUGGAGCUAUUGAGAGUCGCAGAUACCAGGUGGCUGCAACUGUUUAUUAAAAACACAGCACUGUGCAAAAUCGUAAGAUGACGUAUACGGUGUGACGCCUGCCCGGUGCCGGAAGGUUAAUUGAUGGGGUUAGACUUCGGUCGAAGCUCUUGAUCGAAGCCCCGGUAAACGGCGGCCGUAACUAUAACGGUCCUAAGGUAGCGAAAUUCCUUGUCGGGUAAGUUCCGACCUGCACGAAUGGCGUAAUGAUGGCCACGCUGUCUCCACCCGAGACUCAGUGAAAUUGAAAUCGCUGUGAAGAUGCAGUGUACCCGCGGCUAGACGGAAAGACCCCGUGAACCUUUACUACAGCUUGGCACUGAACAUUGACCCUACAUGUGUAGGAUAGGUGGGAGGCUUUGAAGCACGUACGCCAGUAUGUGUGGAGCCGUCCUUGAAAUACCACCCUUGUAGUGUUGAUGUUCUAACGUCGACCCCUUAUCGGGGUUGCGGACAGUGCCUGGUGGGUAGUUUGACUGGGGCGGUCUCCUCCCAAAGAGUAACGGAGGAGCACGAAGGUGGGCUAAUCACGGUUGGACAUCGUGAGGUUAGUGCAAUGGCAUAAGCCCGCUUGACUGCGAGAAUGACAAUUCGAGCAGGUGCGAAAGCAGGUCAUAGUGAUCCGGUGGUUCUGAAUGGAAGGGCCAUCGCUCAACGGAUAAAAGGUACUCCGGGGAUAACAGGCUGAUACCGCCCAAGAGUUCAUAUCGACGGCGGUGUUUGGCACCUCGAUGUCGGCUCAUCACAUCCUGGGGCUGAAGUCGGUCCCAAGGGUAUGGCUGUUCGCCAUUUAAAGUGGUACGCGAGCUGGGUUUAGAACGUCGUGAGACAGUUCGGUCCCUAUCUGCCGUGGGCGUUGGAAGAUUGAAGGGGGCUGCUCCUAGUACGAGAGGACCGGAGUGGACGAACCUCUGGUGUUCGGGUUGUGUCGCCAGACGCAUUGCCCGGUAGCUAAGUUCGGAAUCGAUAACCGCUGAAAGCAUCUAAGCGGGAAGCGAGCCCUGAGAUGAGUCUUCCCUGAUACUUUAAGUAUCCUAAAGGGUUGUCGGAGACUACGACGUUGAUAGGUCAGGUGUGUAAGUGCUGUGAGGCAUUGAGCUAACUGAUACUAAUUGCCCGUGAGGCUUAACCAUACAACACCCAAGGGGUUU